Molecule: long non-coding RNA, 2630 nt
Filed under: Sus scrofa (pig)
Lineage: Eukaryota; Metazoa; Chordata; Mammalia; Artiodactyla; Suidae
Description: lncRNA (ENSSSCG00030056200.1)
Source: RNAcentral
UGAUACUGACAACUACCAUUAGUAAUAGGAUGACUAAAAACUGUAUAAAUUUUCACUUUACAGUUCUUGUAAUUCAAUAUAAUGCAUUGGUGACUACUGUCAAAUUAAUGUGUUCCAAAUGAAUUAGACUAAUCCCUUUCUAUGCCUCCAAGUGUUCACUUAAUGAAUCAUUUUAAAUUUUAGGAAUGUAAAAAUUUUUUAAUAAUUUCAUUUUUACCUAAAAAUUGACAUGAUACCAAGCCUAUGAAAUAGGUCACUUCUUUUAAAGAAGUGUAAACUCUAUUCCUGUUCUCUCUAUUCCUUUCCUCUCUUACAAGCUCCUUCCUUCCUUUCUUUCUUUCCUUCCUUCAUUAUUUUAUGAUUUAUCCUUCCAUCAAUUUUAGGGGUAUAACCCUUUAAAAUAGAGGGUAGCAUAUCAUAUUUUAAUAUAUGGUUUGUUUUAGGGAGUUUUUCUUUUUAUUCUUAUGCUUAAUAUUAACAGAAUUUUCUGAUAUUCUUUCAAGAAUUAUUUUCUAUUGGUGCUUUACUAAGAAUAUUGAAAAUACAUAAUGCUUUUCUUCUCUUACUCCAUCCUCUCCCAUAUCAUAGAAUUUAAACUAAUAUUAUUUUACUUCCAGGUAAUUAAGCGUUACUAUAUAUUUUGACCUGUUCUUCCCAUUGUUGUCUUAUUUUUUUAAUAAUUAACUAUAUUUUUAUCAAAUCAUAUCCCUAUUAUAUACAAUUUCUCCCUUAUGACCACAAUGUAUACUUAGUUCCAAAUUCAAUGUUUUUAUGUACUCAUAAUCUUUGUAUCUAUAUUCUUGCAAAUAUUUUGGUAACUUAAAGCUCAUUUUUAGUGGAUUUUUUUUUAGAAAAGUCAUAUGGGAAUAAAAUUCUCUGGGGUUUUGCUUUUGAUAAAUUUAAUUCUGCUUUUAUUUUGAAAAUCAGUUGUCAAGAUAAACUAUACUUGGAGUUCCUGUCGUGGUGCAGUGGUUAACAAAUCUGACUAAGAACCAUGUGGUUGUGGGUUCGAUCCCUGGCCUUGCNGUGGGUUAAGGACCUGGCAUUGCCCUGAGCAGUGGUAUGCGGCUCUGAUCUGACUUUGCUCUCUGUGGCUGUUGUGCAGGCCAGCAACUACAGCUCCGAUUCAACCCCUAGCCUGGGAACCUCCAUAUGCUGCAGGAGCGGCCCAAGAAAUGGCAAAAAGACAAAAAAAAAAAAAAAAAAAAAAAAAAAGAUAUACUAUACUUGAUUUACAGACAUUCUUUCUUUUAGUGAGCAUUGUCAUCUGAUAGAAAGUGUUGCUAUUAAAAAGUCCUGAUGACAUGAUGAUCUUUCUCUUAUUAGGUGACCUAUUUGGAUGUCUUAUUUUAAAUUUCAAGAGUGUUUUUAAGUUUUAUUGUUGUAUUUUACUAGGCUAAGUCUCAGUGUUGAUCAUUCUGGUAAUUUUUUAAUUACUUAAAGCUUCAUAAUUAGUGUUUGUGUCCUUCAAUUUUUCUUCUUUUUGAAAUUCUCUGAUACAUAUAUUGGAUCUUUUUGCCUUUUACAUUUACUCUUUUCUUUUAGACCCUGAGACGUGUCAUUUCUUCUUAACUUUCAAUAUUCUUCCUUUGCAACUUCUAUUGAGCUUGAGGAAUUAUUUGUUGUUUUAAUUUAUGUUUAUGUUUUUUCUAGUCUAAUAUUUAUUUCUGAAAUAUUUUAUUCUGUUAUUCUUUCUUGAUUCCUGUAAGUUCAUUUCUUAUUUUUCCCUAAUUGUAAUUUGUCUUGCUCUUUCAUGAUUUUAUUGGCAGCCCCAACUUGUGCAAUGAGGCAAGAAAAGAAAAGGAAAUAAUAAGCAGUAUGUGGAGAAGACUGUCAGCCAGUCCAUCUGAUCUCAUGCCAGGGUCCAAAUCUCACCCUAGUUCUUUCUUACUAGUCAUAAAAUUAAUAUUUACAUAUCCAUCCAAUCAUCUUUUUUAGUUCUGAUAUGAGGCAGAAAAUUUCAACAAAAAUAUAGUAUAUAUUUUAUGAAUAUAUAAGGAUAAGAAUGUGUCCUUGAAUAUAUGAUUUGGAACAAGUCCCUCUAGUUGGAGGGGAACUGGCUUGGGGUUAAAGAAAGAAAGUGUGAAAUUGCUGAUUGCAAAUCAUAAGCUAAAGACUGAUAAUUAAAAUAUACACUUGAGUCAUAGAAAUAACAUUCUUUACAUCUGAAAUAAAAAGUUAAAUGUCAGUUAAUGUAAGUGAACCAACUAAAGAGAAGACUAAGAGAAUAAUUUUUGUAAUGAGAUUUCUGAGAAUACACACAGUUGGAUCCUCUGCCCAUGAAAAGAAAAAGCAACAUGUUUUCCACCAAAAUUGAAUGGCAACGGGGAAGAUAGCUGUCAGAUUUUCAGGGCUAGUACAAGAAGUUGGGUUCAUUCCCAAUGAUAGCCACUUGUUCCUCAAUAUUAGAGGUGAAGUCAUUUACUGAGGCCGGGGGGAAGACAGAAAUAGCAUUAAAAAUGUAAAAAGCAUGGAAGCACAUUUUAGAAAGUUAAAGUAUACCUUAAUCAGAAAAAUGUAGGAUAAACACAAUCAUAUUUACUUUUAUUCUUUUUGAAUAUUUGAUCUUUUUAAUCCAAUUUAUUUCAUUGUACUCAGCCCUAAAAAAAAAAAAAAAAAGAAAAGAAAAA